Molecule: RNA transcript, 2602 nt
Organism: Pangasianodon hypophthalmus (striped catfish)
Lineage: Eukaryota; Metazoa; Chordata; Actinopteri; Siluriformes; Pangasiidae
Gene name: fatty acid-binding protein, brain
Exons: 6
Source: RefSeq, a predicted model, not a curated record
UAGUAUGCUGUAUUUAUGUUGUUGCUGAUUGGAGAACCUAACGGUGCUACAACUGACCCCAGUCUCCUCUAUCGAUAUCGGUAUCGGUUUCAGUAUCGGUAUCGGAAUGCUAGCCCUGGUAUCGCUGGGUAUCGAAUCGACAAGUAAUUCAGUGUUUCCUGGUUACCGUUUCCAAUGAAGCGCGAAUGCGUGACGUCGCAGCAGAUGCACGCGGACUGGAAUUAACGUUAACUGUCCGAGCGCGCGAGAGACCGAGAGACAAUCCCGAGCAGGAAGGAUGCUCUGAAUGCACGGACUUUUCCCUCUGCUGAUGGAAAAACCUUUCGUGUAGCCUGCUCGAUGAUAAUGUGAAAUGCAAGAGCAGAGAUGACUGAUGUGGAGACUGUUGUCACUGACUUCGCUGCCACAGGAAGGACUGGCCGACGAAACGCCAUGCCAGAUAUUUUAGGUUCCAACGCAGGAACCGAAGCGGCAGACCUUCCAAACAAAUUAGCUGAUCUUGCUGUUGGAGAUGAUGCUGAGCAAGGAGGAGAAGGCUCAUCCUCCACUGACACGGCCAAGGACACUGCAGGGGGAAAGGACCAGGCAGAGGGAACAUAACUUAACCCAUUACAGCCUGAACCAAACUGAACAGCAAAGUUAACAGAGACAGCACCACAAACAAUCUCUCCUUUUGCCUCCAUGACCAAACUACUGUUAUGGUUGCAGUCUGUGCUAUGCAAGAUCAGCUUCACUGGAAGGUAUUACUCUGAUGUAGGCUGAUGGAGCAGCACACCCAGCUUCUCUUGGAAAUCCUUCUGUUUUGACAGAGUCAAUAAAUUACCCACCUUUGUGAUGUUCAUGUGGCACAAAGAAUAAUGGCUUCUGUAUGUCGUAGAGAGAACCAUAUGACAUUAUUUUCCUAGUUUAAAAAAGGACCACUUGGUUUAUUUUUUUUAAUUGUCACUAAACUAAAAGAAUGUCUAGUUUAUAUACAAAAAUAGCAUUCCAUUUGGUUAUGUAAGUAUAAUUUAAACCGUAAGAAUGUGGUUGGUCAUCUAUUAUGUGAUUUUUAUUUUCUAUGAAUAUAUAUUGUACACUUUUUCUGAGUGCUUUUUGUCAAAGUCAAAAUGAGUAAAUAUGGAACUGUCAUUUAUGUAUCUUGGCUUUUUAUUGUCCUUAUCAACGGCUGUUGAAUGUUACACUUCAUGUCAUUGUAUUGCAAGUACUGUAGGCAUCAAUUUUCACUGAUGUGGUGAUGACGACUUUAUUUUUUCCUCUGUGCUCUCAAAAGCAAAUCAAAAGAAAAUCCAUUCAUGAAGAUGGUACAUUCGAAUUAAUCUUUCAAUAUCAUUAUGCUUUGCAAAAUUAAAUGUAUUAUUUUAACCACAUUGUUGUCUGUUGCACCAAUGUACCAAAUGCUGGCAUUCUGUAAAAUAAACUCUGUACUUAGUUUUUGUGGCUGUUUCUGUAAAAGCUUUUGCUUCUUUCAUCCAAGAGAAUCAAUCGGUAUAGAUGUACUCCCAUUGUGAUUAUAAAACUGUUUUGUAUUUUUUUUUAGCUUAACCACACAAUCAUACAAGCAAAUCAGAUACAGUAUGUGAGAAUUGCCUAACAGGCUGUAAAAAUCUCCUCCCCCUAGAUAAUGUAUAAAUAAUGGUGUACAGCUGCACAGAUUAAACAGGUAAAGUCUGCUUCACCAUUUCUGUUCCCUUCAAAAUAAAAUAGCUUAAUAAUAAAAAAUGGAGGCUUUCAUCGGUACUUGGAAACUUAUCCAAGAUGAGAACUACCAUAAGUACCUGAGAGCAAUCGGUGCUGAGGAAGAAGUGAUUGCUGUUUCAGAUGUACUUAAACCAGUUGUUACAGUUUCCCAAGAAGAUGACAUUGUGGUCAUUAAAAUACAGAGCAGCAUUGGUACUGAAGAGCUCUCAUUCAAACUGGGUAGAGCUUUCUACCUUAAGAAAAUUGACUGCAGAUACUGCAAAGUUGUUGUAGAUCUGGAAGGAAACCAACUCAUACAGGUGGACAAGUGGGACAAUAAAGAAUCUACGUCUAUCUAUGAGGUCAAGGAUGGGAAACUGAUCAAGACAAUGACAUUUAAGGACAUCACAGCAGUGCAAACCUUUACGAGGGUGUAAAAGUUGGAUGACCUCCCAUCUAUUUUGCUAGGACCUUUUUUUUUUUUCAAUAGCAGACUGGAAACGUUUCUAAAAGAGGAAACACCUUCAAUAUCUUGCACUUCAUGUGUCCAAAUAUCCAUUAUAAACCAUUUGAAACAAUACUCAAUAAAGAAUUAUGUAAAAUAUGUUCUUCUCAUGCCAUUCAUUAAUUAAAAAUGCUAUUAGAUACACUUGUAUAAAUUACAGUGUUAGCAGAUGCUAUUACACAAUGUCACACUAGGAGACUGUGGUGGAGUUAGGAUAAUUCACUAUAACUGAAAAUCUAAAGACGUCUACUGAUGUGGAUGAGUAUAAAUCGUGCAACAUGUAGAUGACACAAAUGAACCAUCAUCAGCUCAGCAUCACCUGAAGAUCAUAUUAGAUUUAUUACAUAUAACGUCACAGUUUAUACAGGAUAAAACGUACAACAGGUGAAUUAAAUUAUUAAGUUACAGAAUUCAAAC